AACGAACGCUGGCGGCAUGCCUAACACAUGCAAGUCGAACGAACCCUUCGGGGUUAGUGGCGCACGGGUGCGUAACGCGUGGGAAUCUGCCCUUUGCUUCGGAAUAACUCAGGGAAACUUGUGCUAAUACCGGAUGAUGUCUUCGGACCAAAGAUUUAUCGGCAAGGGAUGAGCCCGCGUAGGAUUAGGUAGUUGGUGGGGUAAAGGCCUACCAAGCCGACGAUCCUUAGCUGGUCUGAGAGGAUGAUCAGCCACACUGGGACUGAGACACGGCCCAGACUCCUACGGGAAGCGGCAGUGGGGAAUAUUGGACAAUGGGCGCAAGCCUGAUCCAGCAAUGCCGCGUGAGUGAUGAAGGCCCUCGGGUCGUAAAGCUCUUUUACCAGGGAUGAUAAUGACAGUACCUGGAGAAUAAGCUCCGGCUAACUCCGUG
RNAcentral lists this ribosomal RNA (433 nucleotides) under uncultured bacterium. Its description in RNAcentral is "partial 16S ribosomal RNA". It matches the Rfam family "Bacterial small subunit ribosomal RNA", at positions 29 to 507 of the family's 1533-position model. The record is from RNAcentral.